Molecule: long non-coding RNA, 1007 nt
Filed under: Taeniopygia guttata (zebra finch)
Lineage: Eukaryota; Metazoa; Chordata; Aves; Passeriformes; Estrildidae
Description: lncRNA (ENSTGUG00000022218.1)
Source: RNAcentral
AGGGUUACUGGGAGCACUGGGAGGGACUGGCAGGGAACUGGACCAAACUGGGAUGUACUGGGAGCACUGGGAGGUUACUGGGAUGUACUGGGAGGGCACCGGAAGCGCCACCCGCCGCAGGGGCCGCCGGGAGUUGUAGUCCCCGCCUCACACCCGCCCGUGACGUCACCAGCACCGCCCACUCUCCCUCCUUAUUGGCCAACCCUCCACCCCGCCCUCACUCCUGAUUGGCCUAUCCAAUACGCCCUCCGAUUGGCCGAUCCCCACGCGGUGGGCGGGACGCGUGAGCUGAUUGGUGCGCGCAGAGCGCGUCGGGCGCUGAUUGGUGGAGGCGGGAACCCGGAAGUGGCGGGGGCAGCGCGGGGCGAAAGCGGCGGUGAGGGGGGAGGGGGCGGGGGGGGGGAGACCCCAAAUUUGGGGGUCCCGGGGGGGUCCCGGGGAAUUUUGGGGGUCCCUGGGGGGGUCCCGGGGAAUUUUGGGGGGUCCUGGAGGAGAUUCCCGGGAAUUUUGGAUCGUUUCUGGGCAUUUUGGGGGGGUCCCGAUAAUUUGGGGGGUCCUGGGGGGGUCCCACAGAAUUUGGGGUGUCCCACGGGGGGUCUCGAUAAUUUGGGGGGGGUCCCGUUAAUUUUGGGGGUCCCUGGGGGGGAUUCCCGGGAAUUUUGGGAGGUCCCAAAAAUUUUGGGGGUUCCCAGGGGGGGGGUCCCGAUACUUUUGGGGGGGGAACCGAUAAUUUUGGGGGGCUCGGGGGGAUUUUGGGGGUCCCUGACCCCCCCUCCCCCCCCUUCACUUGCAGCCGCCCCGGAGCCCCAUGAGAGCCGCGGGUACGGGGGGGGGGAGGGGAUUUGGGGGGAUUUUGGGGGGAGCCUGGCUGGCGAUGACGUCACUGCUGGGCCCGCCCCGGGCCCCGCCCACCCUGCUGCGGCUGCUGCGGCGUGAGUGGGCGGGGCCAGAGGGGGCGGGGCCAAUGGGGGCGGGGCUAAACGGGAGGGCAAAAUAACCCACAGGGG